AUUGAACGCUGGCAGCAUGCUUUACACAUGCAAGUCGAACGGCAGCGCGGGCUUCGGCCCGGCGGCGAGUGGCGAACGGGUGAGUAAUACAUCGGAACGUGCCCAGUAGUGGGGGAUAGCUCGGCGAAAGCCGGAUUAAUACCGCAUACGACCUGAGGGUGAAAGCGGGGGAUCUUCGGACCUCGCGCUAUUGGAGCGGCCGAUGGCAGAUUAGCUAGUUGGUGGGGUAAAGGCCUACCAAGGCGACGAUCUGUAGCUGGUCUGAGAGGACGACCAGCCACACUGGGACUGAGACACGGCCCAGACUCCUACGGGAGGCAGCAGUGGGGAAUUUUGGACAAUGGGCGAAAGCCUGAUCCAGCAAUGCCGCGUGUGUGAUGAAGGCCUUCGGGUUGUAAAGCACUUUUGGCGGGAACGAAAAGGACUGUGCCAAUACCACGGUUCGAUGACGGUACCCGCAGAAUAAGCACCGGCUAACUACGUG
Molecule: ribosomal RNA, 484 nt
Filed under: uncultured bacterium
Lineage: Bacteria
Description: partial 16S ribosomal RNA
Rfam family: Bacterial small subunit ribosomal RNA
Source: RNAcentral